CGAAAUGCGAUACGUAGUGUGAAUUGCAGAAAUACGUGAACCAUCGAAUCUUUGAACGCAAAUUGCGCUCGAGGCUUCGGCCAAGAGCAUGUCUGCCUCAGCGUCGGGUUAAUACUCGCCCUAGACUCUCGAGUCAUAGAGCGGAUCUGGUUGUCCCACUUUUAGUGGGUCAACUGAAGAUGAUAGGCUGAUGCAUGGACCCGUUAAGGGCCUCAACUGGGUAGGUGCUUUUGCGCUAAUUGCUUUAGUUGAUGGCUUGGAUCCGCGCUUGUCGGCCCUAAUCAGGAAUUGAGCUUCGGCUCAACAAAACCCAUUUUCUCGACCUGAGCUCAGGCAAGAACACCCGCUGAACUUAAGC
RNAcentral lists this unclassified non-coding RNA (358 nucleotides) under plant metagenome. RNAcentral's name for it is "partial contains 5.8S ribosomal RNA, internal transcribed spacer 2, and large subunit ribosomal RNA". The stretch from base 1 to 106 matches the Rfam family "5.8S ribosomal RNA", at positions 49 to 154 of the family's 154-position model. The record is from RNAcentral.